CGACUUAGGAUUCGUAGGUGACCUGCGGAGGAUCAUUA
RNAcentral lists this ribosomal RNA (38 nucleotides) under uncultured Cenococcum. Its description in RNAcentral is "partial 18S ribosomal RNA". Lineage: Eukaryota; Fungi; Ascomycota; Dothideomycetes; Gloniales; Gloniaceae. The record is from RNAcentral.